AAGAUUUUAAGUUAUAUAAAACUAUAAGCCUUCAAAGUUUAAAAAAUAAAAGCAUUUUAUAAAUCUUA
This 68-nucleotide transfer RNA is filed under the name Tetraponera rufonigra. RNAcentral describes it as "tRNA-Trp". Lineage: Eukaryota; Metazoa; Arthropoda; Insecta; Hymenoptera; Formicidae. The record is from RNAcentral.